GGGGUAGUCAGUCAGUUGAUUCUCAGCGUCCGUGCGAAGAGGCUGCAAGGUCUCUUUGGUCAACAGGCUGGGGGGAAAGUCCCCGUGCACUGGGGCAGAGAGUGCCGCUGCGGCGGCAGGGACCCCUCGACCACUGGGGAACUCUGUCGUAAGACCGAGUGCCCCUGAGACCCACGCGCUUUCGUUCGCGAAGGUGUGUGGAGAGGAGGGGAUCUCCUUGGUGGCGAGGGCAAUGGCACGGCACCUCCUUGGGGGGUGUCUUUCUGCUGCUUGAGUGAAUUCAGCUGGUGCGAUGUCCUUCCCCGGGCACACGCACUUACUCGAUGGGGCUUAUGCCUGAACUACCC
Molecule: non-coding RNA, 347 nt
Organism: Vitrella brassicaformis
Lineage: Eukaryota; Vitrellaceae
Rfam family: RNase MRP
About the family: RNase MRP is an enzymatically active ribonucleoprotein with two distinct roles in eukaryotes. In mitochondria it plays a direct role in the initiation of mitochondrial DNA replication.
Source: Rfam